UACGAGGGGUCCAAGCGUUGUUCGGAAUACUGGCGUAACGGGUGUAGGUGGACUGAUCAGUCGGAUGUGAAAGCCCUGGGCUCAACCCAGGAAGUGCAUCCGAUACUGUCAGUCUUGAGUACUGGAGAGGGAAGUGGAAUUCCUGGUGUAGCGGUGAAAUGCGUAGAUAUCAGGAGGAACAUCGGUGGCGAAGGCGGCUUCCUGGCCAUGUACUGACACUCAGACCCGAAAGCGUGGGUAGCAAACAGGAUUAGAUACCCGCGUAGUCC
Molecule: ribosomal RNA, 269 nt
Filed under: uncultured bacterium
Lineage: Bacteria
Description: partial 16S ribosomal RNA
Rfam family: Bacterial small subunit ribosomal RNA
Source: RNAcentral